RNAcentral lists this ribosomal RNA (743 nucleotides) under uncultured bacterium. RNAcentral's name for it is "bacterial SSU rRNA". It matches the Rfam family "Bacterial small subunit ribosomal RNA", at positions 94 to 823 of the family's 1533-position model. The record is from RNAcentral.
AGCGGCGGAUGGGUGAGUAACACGUGGGGAACCUGCCCCUAAGUCUGGGAUACCAUUUGGAAACAGGUGCUAAUACCGGAUAAUAAAGCAGAUCGCAUGAUCAGCUUUUGAAAGGCGGCGUAAGCUGUCGCUAAGGGAUGGCCCCGCGGUGCAUUAGCUAGUUGGUAAGGUAACGGCUUACCAAGGCGACGAUGCAUAGCCGAGUUGAGAGACUGAUCGGCCGCAUUGGGACUGAGACACGGCCCAAACUCCUACGGGAGGCAGCAGUAGGGAAUCUUCCACAAUGGACGCAAGUCUGAUGGAGCAACGCCGCGUGAGUGAAGAAGGUUUUCGGAUCGUAAAGCUCUGUUGUUGGUGAAGAAGGAUAGAGGUAGUAACUGGCCUUUAUUUGUCGGUAAUCAGCCAGAAAGUCACGGCUAACUACGUGCCAGCAGCCGCGGUAAUACGUAGGUGGCAAGCGUUGUCCGGAUUUAUUGGGCGUAAAGCGAGCGCAGGCGGAAAAAUAAGUCUAAUGUGAAAGCCCUCGGCUUAACCGAGGAACUGCAUCGGAAACUGUUUUUCUUGAGUGCAGAAGAGGAGAGUGGAACUCCAUGUGUAGCGGUGGAAUGCGUAGAUAUAUGGAAGAACACCAGUGGCGAAGGCGGCUCUCUGGUCUGCAACUGACGCUGAGGCUCGAAAGCAUGGGUAGCGAACAGGAUUAGAUACCCUGGUAGUCCAUGCCGUAAACGAUGAGUGCUAAGUGU